AAUCACAUAUGGGUGAAUGUAUUCACCCAUAUGUGAUAUGAAAUCACACGAGGUGAAUUAAUUCACCCAUAUGUGAUU
RNAcentral lists this microRNA precursor (78 nucleotides) under Melampsora larici-populina 98AG31. RNAcentral describes it as "microRNA MIR807". Lineage: Eukaryota; Fungi; Basidiomycota; Pucciniomycetes; Pucciniales; Melampsoraceae. The record is from RNAcentral.